GUUAUAGAUGGUGGUGUAGAUGAUGCUGGGUCUAGUCAGGUUAUAGAUGGUGGUGUAGAUGAGGCUGGGUCUAGUCAGGUUAUAGAUGGUGGUGGUGUAGAUGAGGCUGGGUCUAGUCAGGUUAUAGAUGGUGGUGGUGUAGAUGAGGCUGGGUCUAGUCAGGUUAUAGAUGGUGGUGUAGAUGAGGCUGGGUCUAGUCAGGUUAUAGAUGGUGGUGUAGAUGAGUCUGGGUCUAGUCAGGUUAUAGAUGGUGGUGUAGAUGAGGCUGGGUCUAGUCAGGUUAUAGAUAGUGGUGUAGAUGAGGCUGGGUCUAGUCAGGUUAUAGGUGGUGGUGUAGAUGAGGCUGGGUCUAGUCAGGUUAUAGAUGGUGGUGUAGAUGAGGCUGGGUCUAGUCAGGUUAUAGAUGGUGGUGUAGAUGAGGCUGGGUCUAGUCAGGUUAUAGAUGGUGGUGGUGUAGAUGAGGCUGGGUCUAGUCAGGUUAUAGGUGGUGGUGUAGAUGAGGCUGGGUCUAGUCAGGUUAUAGAUGGUGGAGUAGAUGAGGCUGGGUCUAGUCAGGUUAUAUAUGGUGGUGGUGUAGAUGAGGCUGGGUCUAGUCAGGUUAUAGAUGGUGGUGUAGAUGAGGCUGGGUCUAGUCAGGUUAUAGAUGGUGGUGUAGAUGAGGCUGGGUCUAGUCAGGUUAUAGAUAGUGGUGUAGAUGAGGCUGGGUCUAGUCAGGUUAUAGAUGGUGGUGUAGAUGAGGCUGGGCCUAGUCAGGUUAUAGAUGGUGGUGGUGUAGAUGAGGCUGGGUCUAGUCAGGUUAUAGAUGGUGGUGUAGAUGAGGCUGGGUCUAGUCAGGUUAUAGAUGGUGGUGUAGAUGAGGCUGGGUCUAGUCAGGUUAUAGAUGGUGGUGUAGAUGAGGCUGGGUCUAGUCAGGUUAUAGGUGGUGGUGUAGAUGAGGCUGGGUCUAGUCAGGUUAUAGAUGGUGGUGUAGAUGAGGCUGGGUCUAGUCAGGCUAUAGAUGGUGGUGUAGAUGAGGCUGGGUCUAGUCAGGUUAUAGAUGG
RNAcentral lists this long non-coding RNA (1040 nucleotides) under Salmo salar (Atlantic salmon). RNAcentral describes it as "lncRNA (ENSSSAG00000107773.1, ENSSSAG00000118831.1)". Lineage: Eukaryota; Metazoa; Chordata; Actinopteri; Salmoniformes; Salmonidae. The record is from RNAcentral.